UACGAAGGGGGCUAGCGUUGCUCGGAAUCACUGGGCGUAAAGCGCACGUAGGCGGAUUGCUAAGUCAGAGGUGAAAUCCUGGAGCUCAACUCCAGAACUGCCUUUGAUACUGGCGAUCUCGAGUCCGGGAGAGGUGAGUGGAACUGCGAGUGUAGAGGUGAAAUUCGUAGAUAUUCGCAAGAACACCAGUGGCGAAGGCGGCUCACUGGCCCGGUACUGACGCUGAGGUGCGAAAGCGUGGGGAGCAAACAGG
RNAcentral lists this ribosomal RNA (253 nucleotides) under uncultured bacterium. Its description in RNAcentral is "partial 16S ribosomal RNA". It matches the Rfam family "Bacterial small subunit ribosomal RNA", at positions 524 to 776 of the family's 1533-position model. The record is from RNAcentral.